GGUGGCUCAGUGGUAGAGCACUUGCCUAGCAUGCAUGAGACCCUGGGUUCAAUUCCUCAGCACCA
Molecule: transfer RNA, 65 nt
Filed under: Dipodomys ordii (Ord's kangaroo rat)
Lineage: Eukaryota; Metazoa; Chordata; Mammalia; Rodentia; Heteromyidae
Rfam family: tRNA
About the family: Transfer RNA (tRNA) molecules are approximately 80 nucleotides in length.
Source: Rfam by way of RNAcentral